UACGAGGGGUGCAAGCGUUGCUCGGAAUUAUUGGGCGUAAAGGGUAGGUAGGUGGUCUCAUUUGUCUGGGGUGAAAGCCUUGGGCUUAACCCAAGAAGUGCCCCAGAAACGGUGAGACUAGAGUCCUGGAGAGGGUCGUGGAAUUCCCGGUGUAGCGGUGAAAUGCGUAGAGAUCGGGAGGAACACCAGAGGCGAAGGCGGCGACCUGGACAGGUACUGACACUCAACUACGAAAGCGUGGGGAGCAAACAGG
This 253-nucleotide ribosomal RNA is filed under the name uncultured bacterium. RNAcentral describes it as "partial 16S ribosomal RNA". It matches the Rfam family "Bacterial small subunit ribosomal RNA", at positions 524 to 776 of the family's 1533-position model. The record is from RNAcentral.